RNAcentral lists this ribosomal RNA (971 nucleotides) under Onchocerca volvulus. RNAcentral describes it as "16S ribosomal RNA". Lineage: Eukaryota; Metazoa; Nematoda; Chromadorea; Rhabditida; Onchocercidae. The record is from RNAcentral.
UUGUUUUUUAAGUUUUAUUAUUUGGUAUUGCAUAUCAGUAGAAGUUUUUAUCAUAGCUAUGAGUAAUAGAAUUAAAAUGGUUAAAUUGAAUUUGUUUUUUUUUUACGAAAUUAAUAAUAUUUUUAUUUAGUAUUGAUAUAACGUAUUUUUAUUUCUGUUUACUUGUUAUUUAUAGGUUAAGUUAUAUUAUUUUUUGUUUGUAAAUUUUUAAAUUUUUGUUGUUGUUUUAUAAAUGUUGUGUGUUUUACAUAGAUUUUUAUUUUUUUUUUUUUUUUUUUUUUUUUGAUUAAUUUUUUAAUUGAUUUAUGAUUUUUACUUUAGUAAUUUUUAUUGUUUUGAUAGGUUUGUUUUUGAAUUUAUGUUUUUGAACUGGUUUUGUUGCUAAAUGUUUAUUAAAAACUUAGGUUUUUAUGUAAAAUUGUCUUCUGCUCUAUGAGUUUUUAAAUGGCAGCCUUAGCGUGAUGGCAUAAAAGUAGCGUAAGUGAUUUGUUUUUUUAAUGGUUUCAAGUAUGAAUGAAGUUUUUAGCAGCUUUUUUAUUUACUUUUUGUUUGAAUUAUUUUUUUAAUUAAAAAUUAUUAGUUAAGGUAUUACAAAGAUAAGUCUUCGGAAAUUUUGUUUUGAAUUUUGAAAUUUUUAUUUUUAAUUUUUUCUUGGGGAUGGAUUUUAAGAAAGUUUUAUACUAUUGUUAUUAUUAAAAAUUACUCCGGAGUUAACAGGGUUGUAGACAUAUAAAUAGGUUUUUAUAUUAGUGUGCUGCGCUACAUCGAUGUUGUAUAUUUUUUUUGAUAAUGGAGAGGUUUUUUUUGUUUUGAGACUGUUCUUCUUGUAUAAAAAAUUGACUUGAUAUUAGUUUAGUUCGUCGUGAGACAGAGCGGUUUAUCUUGUGUAUUUUUGGUGCUUGGCGGUGUUAGUACGAAAGGAAUGCAAUGUGGGUUUAUAUUUAUGACUUUUUUAUUUUGAUGGAUUUUUU